This is a non-coding RNA of Cricetulus griseus (Chinese hamster), 2037 nucleotides long. NCBI's taxonomy places the organism in Eukaryota, Metazoa, Chordata, Mammalia, Rodentia, Cricetidae. The record is from RefSeq and is a predicted model, not a curated record.
GCCAGAGAAGCAAUGCUAAUGACUCUGGCUCCACGUGGCGACCAUUCAGGAAAAAAAAAAAAAAAGCUGCAAUGUUCCCUCUGUCACAUUAAUCAGAGAAACACAUAGAGAGCCGGUUGCAUGGAGACAGCUUUCCUCCUGGUACCUGCCCUGCAUGCUAAUCACCUCUCCUCCUGGCAGUGAGUCAGCUCAGAGCCUUGGCUGGUGGCAGUGAGGACCGGCCAGAAGCACCAGCUCCACUCAGGUGUGACAGCCAGAGUUGUGGUACUUCCCACCUUACCCCAGACACCCCUCACCCCAAUGCCCAUUGUCUACCAUCAUCCAUCCCCUGGCGUGAAUUCUGGGCCGCUUCCUUUGCCACUUAAGACUUCCCUCCCAGGUCCAAAGGGAAUUCUGUAGCAACUAGUUUCUGAUCAGAGUCUAAUGGAAGUGAGAGGGGACUCACUGGAGGGCACUUGGAGAACAAUGACAUCACCUUACAUGGUGUUCAGUGUGUGGCAGGCACAAACACCAGCAGUCUAGACAGAUUAGCUCAUUUGGUUCUUAUGUAACCUUACAGAUUUUUCACAGACAUGACUCUGAAUUUACAGGUAAACUCACACAGAGAAGUUUCAGAACCAAGCCAAGGUCACACAGCUGUAACUAGCCCAAGGAGACUGAAACAUUGCCUCCCAUUGUUCUCCCUGUGCCUGGAUCUCCUGAACACAGUAAUGUCUCUGAAUAUUGUUACAUGUACAAGUCAUUCAUUCAUUCAUCCAUCCAUCCAUCCAGCCAUCCAUCCAGCCAUCCAUCCAUCCAUUCACAGAGAAGCUAUUUGUUGAGUACCUAGUGUCUACCAGGCACAGAACUGGGCAUCAGGGAGUUAUCAGUAAAUGAAAGAGACCACAGAGUUAAGGGAAGGUUGACAGGGAUUUCACAAAUCGGCAGUAAAUGAAAAGUGUGGUGAAUGUCAUGUAGAGCCAGUUCCCAUGAAAAUGGGUAUCAUUAGUGGGUCCCUCAUUUCUUCUCGGGGUCCAGGAAGCUUCCUCGAAGAAAUAACAUGGAGCAGAGACGGACAUUCCUCACACUUUCAUCUCCGUGCCCAGACAUUGGUGUCCGUGGCCAUUAUGCUGGCAACAGAAGCAGCAAAAGGGAAUUGGUUGCUGCACGCCUUCAAUCCCAGCACUCAGGAGGCAGAGGAGGGUGGCUCUCUGGCCAGCCUGGUCUACAGAGUGAGUUCUAGGACAGCCAGAGCUGUUACAGAGAAACUCUGUCUUGUGGGGGGGGGGAGAAUUUGUUUAGAAAGGCAGGCACCCCAGCUGGUGUGGUGUUGAAUACGUGUUAUCCCAACAUUCAAGAGGUGGAGGCAGGAGGAUCCUGAGUCCCAGGCCAGCCUAGGCUGUUGUGAGCCCCUGUAUCAAAGAAGACAUGCAAACUCUCAGGCUCCACCCCUGACCUGCUAAGAGCACAGGAUUGUGGAAAGAUCGUGUGCCUUGGCCUGGUGACUCUGGCUUCACCCCAGGUCUGAAGCAGGGCCAGCUCUCCUGGGGAGAGGGGAACAGGAAGGGCCUGGAGGAAGGUAGAAAGACAGUCCCUCUGGAGAUCCUUGCGGCUGCAUUUCCUCAGCUUCCCUUGUCCCUGCUUGGGGCACAUCACCUCUACUACAAGCCUGCAGGUGUGUGAGGGCAGAGUGGCCUGAGAUGGCCUGGACUGGACAGGGACUGGCCUGUAGGUAUGGGAAGCAGCUCUGCCCUGAGUCAUCUUUCAACCAGGAAGCUUGGCCAGAGGGGACCCUGAAGGAACAGCAAGUCACUGAGUUGAAUUUUCAGACCUGAGUGUAUAUUGACUCUCUCUGCUGGCAGCACAUCAAGAUGUGGAGUUGCCCUGGCUCUGUACUGGGCUUUCUACAGGAUGCCGAAGGAAGGACCUGGAGGAAGCCGGGACAAUGGCUAUCACAGGACGCAGAUGCCAGGGACAGGAAAGAAGAGAAAAUGAAGGACUAGAGAGAUGGCUCAGAGGUUAAGAGCACUGGCUGCCCUUCCAGAAGUCCUGAGUUCA